This 323-nucleotide ribosomal RNA is filed under the name uncultured eukaryote. RNAcentral's name for it is "partial 18S ribosomal RNA". It matches the Rfam family "Eukaryotic small subunit ribosomal RNA", at positions 1470 to 1796 of the family's 1831-position model. The record is from RNAcentral.
CCCUUAGAUGUUCUGGGCCGCACGCGCGCUACACUGACGGAGGCAGCGAGCAUGUCCUUCGCCGAGAGGUGUGGGGAAUCUUGUGAGUCUCCGUCGUGCUGGGGAUAGAUGGUUGCAAUUGUCGAUCUUGAACGAGGAAUUCCUUGUAAUCGUGAUUCAUCACAUCACGAUGAAUACGUCCCUGCCCUUUGUACACACCGCCCGUCGCUCCUACCGAUCGAAGAGUUAGGUGAAUUGUUUUGAUCGAUAAGAUUUGACUAUGGUCAACUCUCGUUGUGAAAUUCUGUGAAUCUGACUGUUUAGAGGAAGGAAAAGUCGUAACA